This 821-nucleotide long non-coding RNA is filed under the name Homo sapiens (human). Its description in RNAcentral is "non-protein coding lnc-COQ8A-6:1". The record is from RNAcentral. Lineage: Eukaryota; Metazoa; Chordata; Mammalia; Primates; Hominidae.
AUGAGCUAUGCAAAUUAACUAGUGGAAACUUUCCUGGAUAGAUCCAAGCUGCCUCAGAGAGUACAGUUUGUUAAGAAAAUGGGUCUGCCCAAAAAAUGCUGAUCCAGGAACAGUGGCCAAAAUGUCUAACAAUUAAAAAGACAUCAUCAACAGAGUUCAUGUAGCUCUUCCUGAACAUCUGGGGCCAUGAAAACCAUUUCUGACCAGGUGUACAUUUAGACCAAUAAGAACACCAAUGUGGAGAUGUCUGCUGAAAACUGCUCAUCUAUUGUGCAGUGUGGAGAUGGCUGUAUGUAGGCUUUCCUUCUCAAACCUAGAAUUUCUGAACCAAGAAAAGCCUGUUCUCUCUCAGGUAGCCUCUAUGACUCCCACGUAGCCUGAAGACCCUAUUCUAUCCACCACGUGAGCACCAUUUCAAUAUGGCUCUCAGCUCCCAUGUGACGGAGGCAGACAGACAUUCCCAAGUUCAAAAUUUGUAAGCCUCACUACACGCCUUCCUACAAAGAUGACAAGCACUGAGAUCAUGGCUGAUAUUUACAAGAAUGGUCCAGCAGAUGGAGCCUUCUCUGUGUAUGCUGAUUUCCAGCAAUCAAAGUCUGAAGGGUCCAACAUGACACCAAAGAAAUGAGGAGAACCUACACCAUCUGCAGCCUGGUCUGGGAGAAUGAAGACUGCCACCCCCUACUGGCUGACUGUCAAUUCCUAGAAAACUGACUAGGGUGACAAUGCCUUCUUCGAAUUCUCUCAGAAAAAGGCCACUAUGGAAUCAAAUCAGAAAUCCUGGUUAGAAAUCUCACACACUGAUCAGUACUAGAAAAAGU